This 18-nucleotide non-coding RNA is filed under the name Rattus norvegicus (Norway rat). The record is from RNAcentral. Lineage: Eukaryota; Metazoa; Chordata; Mammalia; Rodentia; Muridae.
UAGGACACAUGUACUCUG